CAAACUGAAACAUGACAGUACCCCUCCCUCAAGGGACGGAUCCCAGACUCCCAAAGUCGUCCAAAGGCUUGCCUCGCCGGGGAACGGGAACUAAAAGCGACAGCAACCCUUGCCUCGCUGGAGAACAGGAACAAAAGCGACGGCGACCUUCGCCCCGCCAGAGAACAGGAACUAAAAGCGACGGCAACCCUUGCCUUGCCCGAGAACAGGAACAAAAGCGACGGCGACCUUUGCCUCGCCG
This is a long non-coding RNA of Hippocampus comes (tiger tail seahorse), 241 nucleotides long. RefSeq lists it as uncharacterized. NCBI's taxonomy places the organism in Eukaryota, Metazoa, Chordata, Actinopteri, Syngnathiformes, Syngnathidae. The record is from RefSeq and is a predicted model, not a curated record. The transcript has 2 exons.